This 74-nucleotide transfer RNA is filed under the name Pseudomonadales bacterium. RNAcentral describes it as "tRNA-Pro". It matches the Rfam family "tRNA". Rfam says of the family: Transfer RNA (tRNA) molecules are approximately 80 nucleotides in length. Lineage: Bacteria; Pseudomonadati; Pseudomonadota; Gammaproteobacteria; Pseudomonadales. The record is from RNAcentral.
CGGAGUGUAGCUCAGAUGGCUAGAGCGCGCGCUUUGGGAGCGUGAGGUCGCAGGUUCGAGUCCUGUCUCUCCGA